RNAcentral lists this ribosomal RNA (350 nucleotides) under uncultured soil bacterium. RNAcentral's name for it is "bacterial SSU rRNA". It matches the Rfam family "Bacterial small subunit ribosomal RNA", at positions 26 to 377 of the family's 1533-position model. The record is from RNAcentral.
AGAUUGAACGCUGGCGGCAUGCUUUACACAUGCAAGUCGAACGGUAACAGGCCGCAAGGUGCUGACGAGUGGCGAACGGGUGAGUAAUGCAUCGGAACGUGCCCAGUCGUGGGGGAUAACGCAGCGAAAGCUGUGCUAAUACCGCAUACGAUCUAUGGAUGAAAGCGGGGGACCGAAAGGCCUCGCGCGAUUGGAGCGGCCGAUGUCAGAUUAGCUAGUUGGUGGGUAAAGGCCCACCAAGGCGACGAUCUGUAGCUGGUCUGAGAGGACGACCAGCCACACUGGAACUGAGACACGGUCAGACUCCGUACGGGACGCAGCAGGUAGGGUAAUUUUGGAACAAGUGGGCG